RNAcentral lists this ribosomal RNA (253 nucleotides) under uncultured bacterium. RNAcentral describes it as "partial 16S ribosomal RNA". It matches the Rfam family "Bacterial small subunit ribosomal RNA", at positions 524 to 776 of the family's 1533-position model. The record is from RNAcentral.
UACGUAGGGGGCUAGCGUUGUCCGGAAUCAUUGGGCGUAAAGAGCGUGUAGGCGGUCCGGUAAGUCCGCUGUGAAAGUCAAAGGCUCAACCUUUGAAAGCCGGUGGAUACUGUGGGGCUAGAGUACGGAAGAGGCGAGUGGAAUUCCUGGUGUAGCGGUGGAAUGCGCAGAUAUCAGGAGGAACACCAAUAGCGAAGGCAGCUCGCUGGGACGUUACUGACACUGAGGCGCGAAAGCGUGGGGAGCGAACAGG